Molecule: non-coding RNA, 68 nt
Organism: Scophthalmus maximus (turbot)
Lineage: Eukaryota; Metazoa; Chordata; Actinopteri; Pleuronectiformes; Scophthalmidae
Source: Ensembl
GCCAAUGUAGCUUAACUAAAGCAUAACACUGAAGAUGUUAAGAUGGGCCCUAGAAAGCCCCAUGAGCA